UGUGAACUCGAAGAGUAGGGCGGGACACGUGGUAUCCUGUCUGAAUAUGGGGGGACCAUCCUCCAAGGCUAAAUACUCCUGACUGACCGAUAGUGAACCAGUACCGUGAGGGAAAGGCGAAAAGAACCCCGGCGAGGGGAGUGAAAAAGAACCUGAAACCGUGUACGUACAAGCAGUGGGAGCACCUUCGGGUGUGACUGCGUACCUUUUGUAUAAUGGGUCAGCGACUUAUAUUCUGUAGCAAGGUUAACCGUAUAGGGGAGCCGCAGGGAAACCGAGUCUUAACUGGGCGUUAAGUUGCAGGGUAUAGACCCGAAACCCGGUGAUCUAGCCAUGGGCAGGUUGAAGGUUGGGUAACACUAACUGGAGGACCGAACCGACUAAUGUUGAAAAAUUAGCGGAUGACUUGUGGCUGGGGGUGAAAGGCCAAUCAAACCGGGAGAUAGCUGGUUCUCCCCGAAAGCUAUUUAGGUAGCGCCUCGUGAAUUCAUCUUCGGGGGUAGAGCACUGUUUCGGCUAGGGGGUCAUCCCGACUUACCAACCCGAUGCAAACUACGAAUACCGAAGAAUGUUAUCACGGGAGACACACGGCGGGUGCUAACGUCCGUCGUGAAGAGGGAAACAACCCAGACCGCCAGCUAAGGUCCCAAAGUCAUGGUUAAGUGGGAAACGAUGUGGGAAGGCACAGACAGCCAGGAUGUUGGCUUAGAAGCAGCCAUCAUUUAAAGAAAGCGUAAUAGCUCACUGGUCGAGUCGGCCUGCGCGGAAGAUGUAACGGGGCUAAACCAUGCACCGAAGCUGCGGCAGCGACACUAUGUGUUGUUGGGUAGGGGAGCGUUCUGUAAGCCUGCGAAGGUGACCUGUGAGGGUUGCUGGAGGUAUCAGAAGUGCGAAUGCUGACAUAAGUAACGAUAAAGCGGGUGAAAAGCCCGCUCGCCGGAAGACCAAGGGUUCCUGUCCAACGUUAAUCGGGGCAGGGUGAGUCGACCCCUAAGGCGAGGCCGAAAGGCGUAGUCGAUGGGAAACAGGUUAAUAUUCCUGUACUUGGUGUUACUGCGAAGGGGGGACGGAGAAGGCUAUGUUAGCCGGGCGACGGUUGUCCCGGUUUAAGCAUGUAGGCUGGUUAUCCAGGCAAAUCCGGAUAAUCAAGGCUGAGGUGUGAUGACGAGGCACUACGGUGCUGAAGUAACAAAUGCCCUGCUUCCAGGAAAAGCCUCUAAGCAUCAGGUAACAUCAAAUCGUACCCCAAACCGACACAGGUGGUCAGGUAGAGAAUACCAAGGCGCUUGAGAGAACUCGGGUGAAGGAACUAGGCAAAAUGGUGCCGUAACUUCGGGAGAAGGCACGCUGGUGUGUAGGUGAAGUCCCUGCGGAUGGAGCUGAGACCAGUCGAAGAUACCAGCUGGCUGCAACUGUUUAUUAAAAACACAGCACUGUGCAAACACGAAAGUGGACGUAUACGGUGUGACGCCUGCCCGGUGCCGGAAGGUUAAUUGAUGGGGUUAUCCGUAAGGAGAAGCUCUUGAUCGAAGCCCCGGUAAACGGCGGCCGUAACUAUAACGGUCCUAAGGUAGCGAAAUUCCUUGUCGGGUAAGUUCCGACCUGCACGAAUGGCGUAAUGAUGGCCAGGCUGUCUCCACCCGAGACUCAGUGAAAUUGAACUCGCUGUGAAGAUGCAGUGUACCCGCGGCAAGACGGAAAGACCCCGUGAACCUUUACUAUAGCUUGACACUGAACAUUGAGCCUUGAUGUGUAGGAUAGGUGGGAGGCUUUGAAGCGUGGACGCCAGUCUGCGUGGAGCCAACCUUGAAAUACCACCCUUUAAUGUUUGAUGUUCUAACGUUGGCCCCUUACCGGGGUUGCGGACAGUGUCUGGUGGGUAGUUUGACUGGGGCGGUCUCCUCCCAAAGCGUAACGGAGGAGCACGAAGGUUAGCUAAUCCUGGUCGGACAUCAGGAGGUUAGUGCAAUGGCAUAAGCUAGCUUGACUGCGAGCGUGACGGCGCGAGCAGGUGCGAAAGCAGGUCAUAGUGAUCCGGUGGUUCUGAAUGGAAGGGCCAUCGCUCAACGGAUAAAAGGUACUCCGGGGAUAACAGGCUGAUACCGCCCAAGAGUUCAUAUCGACGGCGGUGUUUGGCACCUCGAUGUCGGCUCAUCACAUCCUGGGGCUGAAGUAGGUCCCAAGGGUAUGGCUGUUCGCCAUUUAAAGUGGUACGCGAGCUGGGUUUAGAACGUCGUGAGACAGUUCGGUCCCUAUCUGCCGUGGGCGCUGGAGAAUUGAGGGGGGCUGCUCCUAGUACGAGAGGACCGGAGUGGACGCAUCACUGGUGUUCGGGUUGUCAUGCCAAUGGCACUGCCCGGUAGCUAAAUGCGGAAGAGAUAAGUGCUGAAAGCAUCUAAGCACGAAACUUGCCCCGAGAUGAGUUCUCCCUGAGACUUUAAGUCUCCUGAAGGAACGUUAAAGACGAUGACGUUGAUAGGCCGGGUGUGUAAGCGCAGCGAUGCGUUGAGCUAACCGGUACUAAUGAACCGUGAGGCUUAACCUU
This 2545-nucleotide ribosomal RNA is filed under the name Klebsiella pneumoniae. RNAcentral's name for it is "partial 23S ribosomal RNA". It matches the Rfam family "Bacterial large subunit ribosomal RNA", at positions 398 to 2925 of the family's 2925-position model. Lineage: Bacteria; Pseudomonadati; Pseudomonadota; Gammaproteobacteria; Enterobacterales; Enterobacteriaceae. The record is from RNAcentral.